Non-coding RNA from Cinara cedri, 251 nucleotides. NCBI's taxonomy places the organism in Eukaryota, Metazoa, Arthropoda, Insecta, Hemiptera, Aphididae. The record is from the annotation of a GenBank genome assembly.
AUUUCUGUUAAACGAAAACUUGUGAUGAACGGACAUUUCCUUUGUAUUUAGUUUUGCAACACCGCCCCCUCCUCCAAAGUCGUCCUCAAAUUACUUUUACUUCUAACUACAGAGAAAAGAUUAAAAAAUUCGUAAAUUACAACCAGAUGUGUACCCGACCUCAUAAUUAGGGGGAUAGUACGACCCACCAAAUUAUUUUCAAAAUACAAAAUUGUUAAAAAAAAAUGCAAUAAAAAACCUUAAAUUGAUGU